Long non-coding RNA from Panicum virgatum (switchgrass), 426 nucleotides. RefSeq lists it as uncharacterized. The record is from RefSeq and is a predicted model, not a curated record. Lineage: Eukaryota; Viridiplantae; Streptophyta; Magnoliopsida; Poales; Poaceae. The transcript is spliced from 2 exons.
AUUUGUGCUCAGCAAUGCUUGAGCGCAUGAAUUUGAUGCCAACAGGAGCAGAUGGGACAAGAUAAGCAAUUUCAGGACAGGAAAUAUUUUGAAGCUGUUCUCUGGCAUUGAAUUUAACAAAACUAACUUCAGUUCCUUGGGUAUACAACUUGUUAGGACUUGACCAUAUCCAUGGGCUAUGAUUUCUGGGUGACUGGACCAACAUAGAGUAUUUUCAUUGUGGCCACAUGCGUCAGGUGGUGUAAAGUUGAUCGAAGAUGGAAGAGCACGUCUGAACUAAUAGCAAUAUUGCUCCAGCUUAAUACUAAUUGUAAAGAUAAUUUUCAUAUAUUAUCAUCAAUAGAGCUUGUACAUGAGAUGAUACGUUGGCUGAAAGUGUUUGUGGCAUGAACAAAGAUUACCGAAGCCAGAAGCAUAGCCAAACCA